GCGCGGGUGGCGAAACUGGUAAACGCGCCAUCUUGAGGGGGUGGUGGGCAUUGCCCUUGGAGGUUCAAGUCCUCUCCCGCGCACCA
RNAcentral lists this transfer RNA (86 nucleotides) under bacterium. RNAcentral describes it as "tRNA-Leu". It matches the Rfam family "tRNA". Rfam says of the family: Transfer RNA (tRNA) molecules are approximately 80 nucleotides in length. The record is from RNAcentral.